AACGAACGCUGGCGGCAUGCCUAACACAUGCAAGUCGAACGAGACCUUCGGGUCUAGUGGCGCACGGGUGCGUAACGCGUGGGAACCUGCCCUUAGGUUCGGAAUAACUCCCCGUAAGGGGUGCUAAUACCGGAUAAUGUCUUCGGACCAAAGAUUUAUCGCCUUUGGAUGGGCCCGCGUUGGCUUAGCUAGUUGGUAGGGUAAAAGCCUACCAAGGCGACGAUCCAUAGCUGGUCUGAGAGGAUGAUCAGCCACACUGGGACUGAGACACGGCCCAGACUCCUACGGGAGGCAGCAGUGGGGAAUAUUGGACAAUGGGCGAAAGCCUGAUCCAGCAAUGCCGCGUGAGUGAUGAAGGCCUUAGGGUUGUAAAGCUCUUUUACCCGGGAUGAUAAUGACAGUACUGGGAGAAUGAGCUCCGGCUAACUCCGUG
This 433-nucleotide ribosomal RNA is filed under the name uncultured bacterium. RNAcentral describes it as "partial 16S ribosomal RNA". It matches the Rfam family "Bacterial small subunit ribosomal RNA", at positions 29 to 507 of the family's 1533-position model. The record is from RNAcentral.